Hordeum vulgare subsp. vulgare (domesticated barley) is the source of this 136-nucleotide non-coding RNA. The record is from Rfam. NCBI's taxonomy places the organism in Eukaryota, Viridiplantae, Streptophyta, Magnoliopsida, Poales, Poaceae.
UAAAUACUCCAUCCGUCCCAAAAAAUUUGUCUUAAAUUUGUUUAGAUACGAAUGUAUCUAGUCACAUUUUAGCAUUUAGAUACAUUCAUUUAUAGACAAACCUAAGACAAGAAUUUUAGGAUGGAGGGAGUAUAAG